CUGGCUCAGGAUGAACGCUGGCGGCGUGCCUAACACAUGCAAGUCGAGCGGACGAAUAUCAAUGAAGCCUUCGGGUGGAUUUGAUAUGAGUUAGCGGCGGACGGGUGAGUAACGCGUGGGCAACCUGCCCUAUACAGGAGGAUAACAACGAGAAAUCGUUGCUAAUACUGCAUAAGACCCCAGUAAGGCAUCUUACUGAGGUAAAAACUCCGGUGGUAUAGGAUGGGCCCGCGUCUGAUUAGCUAGUUGGUAAGGUAAUGGCUUACCAAGGCGACGAUCAGUAGCCGACCUGAGAGGGUGAUCGGCCACAUUGGGACUGAGACACGGCCCAAACUCCUACGGGAGGCAGCAGUGGGGAAUAUUGCACAAUGGGGGAAACCCUGAUGCAGCAACGCCGCGUGAAGGAAGAAGGUCUUCGGAUUGUAAACUUCUAUCAGCAGGGAAGAUAAUGACGGUACCUGACUAAGAAGCCCCGGCUAACUACGUGCCAGCAGCCGCGGUAAUACGUAGGGGGCAAGCGUUAUCCGGAAUUACUGGGUGUAAAGGGUGCGUAGGCGGCUAUGCAAGUCAGAUGUGAAAGCCCAGGGCUCAACCCUGGGACUGCAUUUGAAACUGUGUAGCUAGAGUGCAGGAGAGGUAAGUGGAAUUCCUAGUGUAGCGGUGAAAUGCGUAGAUAUUAGGAGGAACACCAGUGGCGAAGGCGGCUUACUGGACUGUAACUGACGCUGAGGCACGAAAGCGUGGGGAGCGAACAGGAUUAGAUACCCUGGUAGUCCACGCCGUAAACGAUGAGUGCUAGGUGUCGGGGGUCGACAGACCUUCGGUGCCGAAGUUAACACAUUAAGCACUCCACCUGGGGAGUACGAUCGCAAGAUUGAAACUCAAAGGAAUUGACGGGGGCCCGCACAAGCAGUGGAGCAUGUGGUUUAAUUCGAAGCAACGCGAAGAACCUUACCAAGUCUUGACAUCCCUCUGACCCGGUCCGUAACGGGACCUUCUCUUCGGAGCAGAGGUGACAGGUGGUGCAUGGUUGUCGUCAGCUCGUGUCGUGAGAUGUUGGGUUAAGUCCCGCAACGAGCGCAACCCUUAUCUUUAGUAGCCAGCAAUUCGGUUGGGGACUCUAGAGAGACUGCCGGGGAUAACUCGGAGGAAGGUGGGGAUGACGUCAAAUCAUCAUGCCCCUUAUGACUUGGGCUACACACGUGCUACAAUGGUGACGACAAAGGGAAGCGAAGGAGUGAUCUGGAGCCAACCCCAAAAAAGUCAUCUCAGUUCGGAUUGUAGUCUGCAACUCGACUACAUGAAGCUGGAAUUGCUAGUAAUCGCGAAUCAGAAUGUCGCGGUGAAUACGUUCCCGGGCCUUGUACACACCGCCCGUCACACCAUGGGAGUCGGAAGCGCCCGAAGCCGGUGACUCAACCGCAAGGAGAGAGCCGUCGAAGGUGAAGUCGAUGACUGGGGUGAAGUCGUAACA
Molecule: ribosomal RNA, 1474 nt
Filed under: Natranaerovirga pectinivora
Lineage: Bacteria; Bacillati; Bacillota; Clostridia; Lachnospirales; Natranaerovirgaceae
Description: 16S ribosomal RNA
Rfam family: Bacterial small subunit ribosomal RNA
Source: RNAcentral